UACGUAGGGGGCAAGCAUUAUCCGGAUUUACUGGGUGUAAAGGGAGCGUAGACGGUUAAUCAAGUCAGAAGUGAAAACCCAGGGCUCAACCUUGGGACUGCUUUUGAAACUGAGUAGCUAGAGUGCAGGAGAGGUAAGCGGAAUUCCUAGUGUAGCGGUGAAAUGCGUAGAUAUUAGGAGGAACACCAGUGGCGAAGGCGGUUUGCUGGGCCAUUACUGACGCUCAUGCACGAAAGCGUGGGGAGCAAAUAGG
RNAcentral lists this ribosomal RNA (253 nucleotides) under uncultured Lachnospiraceae bacterium. RNAcentral's name for it is "partial 16S ribosomal RNA". It matches the Rfam family "Bacterial small subunit ribosomal RNA", at positions 524 to 776 of the family's 1533-position model. The record is from RNAcentral. Lineage: Bacteria; Bacillati; Bacillota; Clostridia; Lachnospirales; Lachnospiraceae.